GUCUACAUUCGUGAAUUUCGAUGGUUUGUUAGAUUUGGGGUUCUUUACACUUUGGUGGGAGAUGCAGUAAUGUUCAAUCUUAUUCUUGCAGUGAAAGAGUUCUACAAUAGUUCCGUUCUGUAUUUAUACAUCAGUGAGGUCUUUGUUCAGGUUUUAUUUGGAAUACUUCUGCUUGUGUACGUUCCUGACUUGGAUUCUUACCCUGAUUACACUCCCUUACGGUCUGAAUAUGUUGAUGAUGUUGACUAUCAAGAACUUCCUGGAGGAGAGUACGUAUGUCCUGAGCAGCAUGUCAACAUAUUUUCCAAAACUAUUUUUGCAUGGAUGAAUCCUAUAAUGAAGCUAGGAUACAAAAGGCCUCUCACUGAGAAGGAUAUUUGGAAACUAGACAUGUGGGAUUGGACUGAAACACUGAACGACAGGUUCCAGAAAUGUUGGGCUGAGGAAUCACGAAGGCCUAAUCCAUGGCUUUUAAGAGCAUUAAAUAGUAGCCUCGGAGGAAGGUUUUGGUGGGGAGGCUUUUGGAAGAUUGGCAAUGAUGUUUCCCAAUUUGUGGGGCCACUUCUAUUGAACCAACUCCUACAGUCUAUGCAAGAAGGUGAUCCAGCGUGGAUUGGAUACAUCUAUGCUUUCUCAAUUUUUGCUGGGGUGGUAUUGGGUGUGUUAUUUGAAGCUCAGUAUUUUCAGAAUGUCAUGCGUAUUGGUUACCGGCUGAGAUCAACUUUGAUUGCUGCUGUAUUUCGGAAAUCUCUAAGGCUAACUCAUGAGAGUCGGCGAAAGUUUGCAUCUGGAAAAAUAACGAACUUGAUGACCACUGAUGCUGAAGCACUUCAGCAAGUAUGCCAAUCCCUUCACACUCUGUGGUCAGCUCCGUUUCGUAUUAUCAUUGCAAUGGUUUUGCUUUUUCAGCAGUUGGGCGUUGCAUCACUUCUUGGUGCAGUAAUACUAGUACUCCUCUUUCCCAUACAGACAUUUGUUAUAAGCAGAAUGCAGAAAUUGUCAAAGGAGGGCUUGCAGCGCACUGACAAGAGGAUUGGCCUUAUGAAUGAAAUUUUGGCUGCAAUGGACGCUGUUAAGUGUUAUGCAUGGGAGAACAGUUUCCAGGCUAAAGUUCAAACUGUUCGUGAUGAUGAAUUGUCAUGGUUCCGAAAAGCAUCACUACUGGGAGCGUGUAAUGGUUUUAUACUAAACAGCAUCCCUGUGGUGGUCACUGUGAUUUCAUUUGGUAUGUUCACUUUGCUUGGGGGAGAUCUGACACCUGCAAGGGCAUUUACAUCACUUUCCCUGUUUGCCGUGCUUCGCUUUCCCCUCUUUAUGCUUCCUAAUAUUAUUACCCAGGUAGUGAAUGCAAAUGUAUCCCUAAAGCGUUUGGAGGAACUACUUCUGG
RNAcentral lists this unclassified non-coding RNA (1387 nucleotides) under Hevea brasiliensis (rubber tree). Lineage: Eukaryota; Viridiplantae; Streptophyta; Magnoliopsida; Malpighiales; Euphorbiaceae. The record is from RNAcentral.